Molecule: transfer-messenger RNA, 348 nt
Filed under: Sphingomonadaceae bacterium
Lineage: Bacteria; Pseudomonadati; Pseudomonadota; Alphaproteobacteria; Sphingomonadales; Sphingomonadaceae
Also listed under: 1 other name
Rfam family: Alphaproteobacteria transfer-messenger RNA
About the family: Bacterial tmRNA, also known as 10Sa RNA or SsrA, is named for its dual tRNA and mRNA-like properties. Its role is to liberate the mRNA from a stalled ribosome. To accomplish this part of the tmRNA is used as a reading frame that ends in a translation stop signal.
Source: RNAcentral
UCACUUCACAUUAAUCGCCAAGCGCCUAUAUAGGCGGUGCCGGACUCGUCCGGCUAUGGUGAUAAAUUGUUGCGUGCAAUAGAUGCAGCGGACCCGGGGGCGGUACCCGGCGGCUCCACCACUUCCCCUGUUCCGGCAGGGGCAAAUGACGGGGCCGAACUAGGAUCGACGUGUGUUGAAAAGCGCAGUUUUCACCCGGGCUGAGUAACCCGUUCAAGGCUCAAAACUCACAAGUGCCAACGAUAACGAAGCACUUGCUCUUGCUGCGUAAUUCUAGGGCCUAACGGCCUGAAGUUACACACCCAAGAACGGGGUCCGGGGCGUACCUAGCAACAGAAACGCCCCACU